This 2921-nucleotide ribosomal RNA is filed under the name Staphylococcus aureus. RNAcentral describes it as "bacterial LSU rRNA". It matches the Rfam family "Bacterial large subunit ribosomal RNA". The record is from RNAcentral. Lineage: Bacteria; Bacillati; Bacillota; Bacilli; Caryophanales; Staphylococcaceae.
UUAAGUUAUUAAGGGCGCACGGUGGAUGCCUUGGCACUAGAAGCCGAUGAAGGACGUUACUAACGACGAUAUGCUUUGGGGAGCUGUAAGUAAGCUUUGAUCCAGAGAUUUCCGAAUGGGGAAACCCAGCAUGAGUUAUGUCAUGUUAUCGAUAUGUGAAUACAUAGCAUAUCAGAAGGCACACCCGGAGAACUGAAACAUCUUAGUACCCGGAGGAAGAGAAAGAAAAUUCGAUUCCCUUAGUAGCGGCGAGCGAAACGGGAAGAGCCCAAACCAACAAGCUUGCUUGUUGGGGUUGUAGGACACUCUAUACGGAGUUACAAAGGACGACAUUAGACGAAUCAUCUGGAAAGAUGAAUCAAAGAAGGUAAUAAUCCUGUAGUCGAAAAUGUUGUCUCUCUUGAGUGGAUCCUGAGUACGACGGAGCACGUGAAAUUCCGUCGGAAUCUGGGAGGACCAUCUCCUAAGGCUAAAUACUCUCUAGUGACCGAUAGUGAACCAGUACCGUGAGGGAAAGGUGAAAAGCACCCCGGAAGGGGAGUGAAAUAGAACCUGAAACCGUGUGCUUACAAGUAGUCAGAGCCCGUUAAUGGGUGAUGGCGUGCCUUUUGUAGAAUGAACCGGCGAGUUACGAUUUGAUGCAAGGUUAAGCAGUAAAUGUGGAGCCGUAGCGAAAGCGAGUCUGAAUAGGGCGUUUAGUAUUUGGUCGUAGACCCGAAACCAGGUGAUCUACCCUUGGUCAGGUUGAAGUUCAGGUAACACUGAAUGGAGGACCGAACCGACUUACGUUGAAAAGUGAGCGGAUGAACUGAGGGUAGCGGAGAAAUUCCAAUCGAACCUGGAGAUAGCUGGUUCUCUCCGAAAUAGCUUUAGGGCUAGCCUCAAGUGAUGAUUAUUGGAGGUAGAGCACUGUUUGGACGAGGGGCCCCUCUCGGGUUACCGAAUUCAGACAAACUCCGAAUGCCAAUUAAUUUAACUUGGGAGUCAGAACAUGGGUGAUAAGGUCCGUGUUCGAAAGGGAAACAGCCCAGACCACCAGCUAAGGUCCCAAAAUAUAUGUUAAGUGGAAAAGGAUGUGGCGUUGCCCAGACAACUAGGAUGUUGGCUUAGAAGCAGCCAUCAUUUAAAGAGUGCGUAAUAGCUCACUAGUCGAGUGACACUGCGCCGAAAAUGUACCGGGGCUAAACAUAUUACCGAAGCUGUGGAUUGUCCUUUGGACAAUGGUAGGAGAGCGUUCUAAGGGCGUUGAAGCAUGAUCGUAAGGACAUGUGGAGCGCUUAGAAGUGAGAAUGCCGGUGUGAGUAGCGAAAGACGGGUGAGAAUCCCGUCCACCGAUUGACUAAGGUUUCCAGAGGAAGGCUCGUCCGCUCUGGGUUAGUCGGGUCCUAAGCUGAGGCCGACAGGCGUAGGCGAUGGAUAACAGGUUGAUAUUCCUGUACCACCUAUAAUCGUUUUAAUCGAUGGGGGGACGCAGUAGGAUAGGCGAAGCGUGCGAUUGGAUUGCACGUCUAAGCAGUAAGGCUGAGUAUUAGGCAAAUCCGGUACUCAUUAAGGCUGAGCUGUGAUGGGGAGAAGACAUUGUGUCUUCGAGUCGUUGAUUUCACACUGCCGAGAAAAGCCUCUAGAUAGAAAAUAGGUGCCCGUACCUCAAACCGACACAGGUAGUCAAGAUGAGAAUUCUAAGGUGAGCGAGCGAACUCUCGUUAAGGAACUCGGCAAAAUGACCCCGUAACUUCGGGAGAAGGGGUGCUCUUUAGGGUUAACGCCCAGAAGAGCCGCAGUGAAUAGGCCCAAGCGACUGUUUAUCAAAAACACAGGUCUCUGCUAAACCGUAAGGUGAUGUAUAGGGGCUGACGCCUGCCCGGUGCUGGAAGGUUAAGAGGAGUGGUUAGCUUCUGCGAAGCUACGAAUCGAAGCCCCAGUAAACGGCGGCCGUAACUAUAACGGUCCUAAGGUAGCGAAAUUCCUUGUCGGGUAAGUUCCGACCCGCACGAAAGGCGUAACGAUUUGGGCACUGUCUCAACGAGAGACUCGGUGAAAUCAUAGUACCUGUGAAGAUGCAGGUUACCCGCGACAGGACGGAAAGACCCCGUGGAGCUUUACUGUAGCCUGAUAUUGAAAUUCGGCACAGCUUGUACAGGAUAGGUAGGAGCCUUUGAAACGUGAGCGCUAGCUUACGUGGAGGCGCUGGUGGGAUACUACCCUAGCUGUGUUGGCUUUCUAACCCGCACCACUUAUCGUGGUGGGAGACAGUGUCAGGCGGGCAGUUUGACUGGGGCGGUCGCCUCCUAAAAGGUAACGGAGGCGCUCAAAGGUUCCCUCAGAAUGGUUGGAAAUCAUUCAUAGAGUGUAAAGGCAUAAGGGAGCUUGACUGCGAGACCUACAAGUCGAGCAGGGUCGAAAGACGGACUUAGUGAUCCGGUGGUUCCGCAUGGAAGGGCCAUCGCUCAACGGAUAAAAGCUACCCCGGGGAUAACAGGCUUAUCUCCCCCAAGAGUUCACAUCGACGGGGAGGUUUGGCACCUCGAUGUCGGCUCAUCGCAUCCUGGGGCUGUAGUCGGUCCCAAGGGUUGGGCUGUUCGCCCAUUAAAGCGGUACGCGAGCUGGGUUCAGAACGUCGUGAGACAGUUCGGUCCCUAUCCGUCGUGGGCGUAGGAAAUUUGAGAGGAGCUGUCCUUAGUACGAGAGGACCGGGAUGGACAUACCUCUGGUGUACCAGUUGUCGUGCCAACGGCAUAGCUGGGUAGCUAUGUGUGGACGGGAUAAGUGCUGAAAGCAUCUAAGCAUGAAGCCCCCCUCAAGAUGAGAUUUCCCAACUUCGGUUAUAAGAUCCCUCAAAGAUGAUGAGGUUAAUAGGUUCGAGGUGGAAGCAUGGUGACAUGUGGAGCUGACGAAUACUAAUCGAUCGAAGACUUAAUCAA